This is a long non-coding RNA of Dicentrarchus labrax (European seabass), 678 nucleotides long. RefSeq lists it as uncharacterized. The transcript has 3 exons. The record is from RefSeq and is a predicted model, not a curated record. NCBI's taxonomy places the organism in Eukaryota, Metazoa, Chordata, Actinopteri, Moronidae.
UGUUAUCGGGCCAGGUGGAGGCAGCUACCAGCACGUCGUGGCCCUGGCCCAGGCCCUCGUGGAACUGCGCCACCGCCGCUACGUCACUCCCAGGCAAGCCAGAGAGAUCACCGCUCUCUGGCUGAAGUUGAGUGAUUGGGACAAGGCAGCGGUCAAAUUCCCCCCCCCCGUCACCAGGGCCGGCUUGUCCAAGGCCGAUUCCGGACCACCCAGCGGCACGCUCACAUGCCAGGGGUGUGGAUAGUGUGAAGUGUGCGGUCCUGGGCAAGGGGGCGGGAGCGGCGCAGUCUCCCGAUGUGUCGAGGCUUGUGGAGGCUGUCCUGCUGGACCUCAGCAUCCUCCACUGCAGCGAGGGCAGGAAGAUUGCCGGGGUCUGGAUUCCUCGCUGGGGUGCCGUCAUGAGGGACUAUCUAACAAUUCGCGAGAAUGUUUAUAGUUGUGCAGCCCUCAUGACGAGCACCCGCAUCCAGCUAUAUGAUGUCAAUCGGCGGACCCUGGCGCAAUGGCACAACCAGAGGAGCAAGGCCAUGAUGAGGGACACCAUCGCCAUUGCAGUCCUGGGGCCCAGCACUCCCCAGACUGCAGCGGAGCCCCUGCCUGCCCCACCGAUGUGUGAUGUGUGUGUGUGUGUGUGUUUGGGAGGGAGGGAUUUGUAAAUAUUGUGUAUAUAGUGUAUUU